UAGUAAACCGAGAAGGGUUGAAGUAGUAAGUUGUUCCCUGUUUCAGAAAGCUGACGGUCGCUGUGAGUCAGUACAGAGCAAAUUACGAAUUACGUCCUGGAGUUUUCUUCUGAUGAUUUCAGAAGACGGGUGAAUCCGUUAUAAAUUCCUUGAGUGGUAAUCAGUUUGUCUGGUUACAACAAGGGUGGUACCGCGAGCGAGCCUCGUCCCUUUU
RNAcentral lists this non-coding RNA (214 nucleotides) under Pontibacillus chungwhensis. RNAcentral describes it as "T-box sequence". It matches the Rfam family "T-box leader". From Rfam's summary of the family: Uncharged tRNA acts as the effector for transcription antitermination of genes in the T-box leader family. The record is from RNAcentral. Lineage: Bacteria; Bacillati; Bacillota; Bacilli; Caryophanales; Bacillaceae.